Molecule: ribosomal RNA, 468 nt
Filed under: uncultured bacterium
Lineage: Bacteria
Description: partial 16S ribosomal RNA
Rfam family: Bacterial small subunit ribosomal RNA
Source: RNAcentral
GACGAACGCUGGCGGCGUGCUUAACACAUGCAAGUCGAACGGAAAGGCCCUGCUUUUGUGGGGUGCUCGAGUGGCGAACGGGUGAGUAACACGUGAGUAACCUGCCCUUGACUUUGGGAUAACUUCAGGAAACUGGGGCUAAUACCGGAUAGGAGCUCCUGCUGCAUGGUGGGGGUUGGAAAGUUUCGGCGGUUGGGGAUGGACUCGCGGCUUAUCAGCUUGUUGGUGGGGUAGUGGCUUACCAAGGCUUUGACGGGUAGCCGGCCUGAGAGGGUGACCGGCCACAUUGGGAUUGAGAUACGGCCCAGACUCCUACGGGAGGCAGCAGUGGGGAAUAUGGCACAAUGGGCGGAAGCCUGAUGCAGCAACGCCGCGUGCGGGAUGACGGCCUUCGGGUUGUAAACCGCUUUCGCCUGUGACGAAGCGUGAGUGACGGUAAUGGGUAAAGAAGCACCGGCUAACUACGUG